This 530-nucleotide small RNA is filed under the name Pongo abelii (Sumatran orangutan). RNAcentral describes it as "retained intron". Lineage: Eukaryota; Metazoa; Chordata; Mammalia; Primates; Hominidae. The record is from RNAcentral.
CAAAGGGAAUGUUUAUGUUUGAGAUUCUGCAAACAGGGCAGCAAGUGUGAAGACUUAGAAAGAUGAAGCCAUUAACAGUCAUCUGGGGACCUGGAGAAUGACGAGCAGGCAGCCAGUGCCAUCUCUGAGCUGGUCAGCACAGCCUGCGGUUUCCGGCUGCACCGCGGCAUGAAUGUGCCCUUCAAGCGCCUGUCUGUGGUCUUUGGAGAACACACACUGCUGGUGACGGUGUCAGGACAGAGGGUGUUUGUGGUGAAGAGGCAGAACCGAGGUCGGGAGCCCAUUGAUGUCUGAGCCUGCCGGAGGGCGAGGGUCGCAGAAGCGGAUUGGGUCCUGGGCCUCUGUGAUGAGGCAGGCACACACGUCGGUCUUGGCUUGCUGCUAUAACUAGGGCCUUCUGCUCGCCCACCUCCCACCCCUACCUGGAUGGGCCGAGGCUUGGGGACUUUGAGCUGUGUUAAGAACAAGGGCAAGGAGACCUCCCUUUGUGCUCCCUCCCUCCCUAAUAAACACGAGUCUGAUGUUAUCCA